AUCGAACGCUGGCGGCAGGCCUAACACAUGCAAGUCGAGCGCGAAAGUUCUUCGGAAUGAGUAAAGCGGCGGACGGGUGAGUAAUACAUGGGAAUCUGCCUGGUAGUGGGGGACAACGUUUCGAAAGGAACGCUAAUACCGCAUACGCCCUACGGGGAAAGGGGGGAUCUUCGGACCUCUCGCUAUCAGAUGAGCCCAUG
This 200-nucleotide ribosomal RNA is filed under the name uncultured bacterium. Its description in RNAcentral is "partial 16S ribosomal RNA". It matches the Rfam family "Bacterial small subunit ribosomal RNA", at positions 30 to 235 of the family's 1533-position model. The record is from RNAcentral.